AUAAACUUCAACUUAAUUAAACUAACUUUUUGGAAGCAGCUACUAAGGGCCAGGUUGUAUGAGAGGAGCCAGGUACAUAAAAAGGGACAAGGGUCAUAGCCGCAAGGAGAUCACACUGUAUGGUGAGACAUAUGCUCCUUUGAUCGAUCAGCUGAGAAUUCUCCAUUUUCAUUUUUAUCCAGAUCAGCUCUGCACAGAGGCCUUCUCUACAUACCCAAUACAAAUGAAAUGCUUGAGCAGUCUCACCUACGUUCUGCAAUUUGACUUCCAUGCAUAGCGCCUGGUUGUUUGCCUUGAACAUUCGUCAGAAUCACCCAGAGAACUGUUACAACCCAGAUUCCUGCGUCCACCCCUAGAGUUUCUGAUUCAGCAAGUCUAGGGCAGAAGCUGAGAAUUUGCAUUUCUAACAAGUUCCCAGGUGAUGCUGACACUGUUAAUCUGGGAUCACUCUUUGAGAAUCAUCGGCACUGUCUCACUACCUGAUGAUAUUUUCCUCAUCACUCUUUUCUGUAGUGUCAUCCGCACUCCACUGGAGUGUCUGUUCUAUGAAAGCAGGGAGUUUGUAUGUUCUGUUCACCCUGUAUCUCUAGUGCAUGAUACAUAGUAGGUGCUCUUUAAUAUUUGUUGAAUGAAGAAUGGAGUAAUUAGUAGCUAAUCCUUUUCAUUGUAGAUUUUGGAUCAUCUGCAUUUGGUUUAAUCUAAUUUUGCAAGAACUUUGCUUUCCAUCCUGUGCAUAUAUGUAACAGCCGUGAGAGACUAUUCAUUAGACACAAUUUAACUUACAAAAAUGUAAGCCACACACAGAGUUGACAUCUGUUAUUGACGGUAUGUUUUAGGUUGUGAACUUCAUUAGUUGUCCUUCUACUUGAGGAUAGAGAUUCUAUCCAACACCAUAUUUAGAAAAUAGCCCCUUCUUUUUAACAACACAAACUCAGUGGCAUUCUCUUUAAAUUGGGGGCAACAUCCUCUUACACACAACACUGAAAGCGGAAAAGUAAACAAUUCGAUACAUUCAUACAGUCGUUCUUUCAUACUCUGCAGAGUAACAUUUCUCAUACAUCACAAUUAAAUACAUCAUCAUAAGGUUUAACUAAUCACUAUGAAUACAUCUCAGUAACAACCAGGUCCCUGUAGUGCUAGUAAGAUUAUACUUCACCUAUCGAUCCAUUGAGCUUGCCUCUAAGGAGCCUUAACAAGUCACAUGUUUUCCUGAAAUUACUGAAGAAACCAGUUCACUGUGCAGUGCCUCAAUCACCCCUCCAUUUGCAGAUUCUGGAAUAUCCACAUGUAUGAGUCCACAGAUAACUGUGUUUAUCUGCUUCUCCUGCUACCUAAACACUGUCAUAGCCAUUGCUACCUCUACCUCCUCCCCUUCCUAGCUAGUUCCUCCUGGUGGGUCUCCUGCCCACAUCUGGCUCUCUGACCCCACCAGACUCUGAAUCUCCUCUUCCCUGUGAGACAUUUGUUUUCAUCUUUUUAAUGCUGAGGCAGAAACCCUCCCUGCAUAACAAGGGGCCAGAAUCAAAGUCCAGGCUUGCAACCUACAAAUCUACUGCUAAAUUCGCUCUAAAGUUGGCCACUGGGAGAAGCACCUGGGGAGGAAGGAUGAGGCAUAGCCUUGCUAAUUAAGCCAGAUUCAAGGUGUCUGGAGUCUUGUGUAAGAUGCUGUAGUUAAAUGUCAAAGUCGAGGAGUCAGCUGGUAAAAUGACAAACCGUCCCUGUCAGAAUGCUGACAGGCAAAGGCGGCAGCAGUGGCUGGGGAGACGCCAGCUCUCUGUGGCUCACCUGUGUCACCUCCAUCCUUCCUGAACACUCGUGACCAGCGACCACAUUGAAGAAAGCAGACGGGCUUCCACCCGGCUACACUUGUAAGGGAUCCUUAAAAAUACUGACACAGAUGACAGUGAGGGUCUCAAAGGAGGUCUCAACACAAGCCAAGGGCUGAGACCAGAAUCAAACACAGUAUCAAUUCAAUAAAGCCUAUUUGAAGGCUUUGAAGAUCCAGUUUUGCUGUGUACCUAUAUAUUACAAAACACUGGCUCAAUUCUGAAUUGAAAGGCCUUACAAUGAAUGUUAUUUUAAAACACAUUGUUUCAGUUUUCAACAUAGAAAAAAAAAUCUAUUCUGGUGCAGGAAACUACAAAUGGCCAUUAAUUCUGGCUUUUGGUCCAUAAUUCCUUUCCUGUAUGGGACCCAUUUGCUCAUCUAACAGAAGCAUUUGACUGACUACUUAUUUUUGUCAUUUUUUUUACAAUAACAGCAAUCCUAUGAAGUAGAGCAGAUUUCAAGUAUUUGUUCCUCCAUUUUAUGGUGAUAACCUCAGAUUAAGAAAGAUCAAGUGACUUGCAUAGAUUACAGCUAUGAAGUGGUAUAGCCAGGACCCCAUUUAUCAAGCAGUCCAGCUACUGGCCAUCCGCAGCAUCUCAGACUGGUCUCUCCCCUCGGUUUCUUCAAUCAGGCAGUGCUCUCUGGCAUCUUUAUUCCUUGCCAGUGAGCCUGGGGUUGCUGCUUUCACACACAACUCACUGUCAGUGGCUACGACUCUUUUCGUUUACUUUCAGCUGCCAGAAAAGAUUCUUCUUCCAACCUCAAUGAUGUUGGUAACUUCAGCUUCCACUAAAAAUAUUUUUUCUACUGAAAAAGCUGUGGUGGUUUGUGUAGGGGAAACAAAAAUGUAGAUCUUAAUUGAAUAUCCUCUGUUCUGUAGGUUCAUUUAUUUGUGAUGAGAUGAACUUUCUUUUUCUUCACCCUGGCCCCAUCCACCUUAUCAUCUUUCUAGGGUAUGGCACAUACAAAGCUUGGUGCCAGAAGGAGAAUUUAGUGAUAAAAUUCAAUGUAGAAGAAAAAGAGAUGAAGACUAUUAGCAUCAUAACAAACAGAAACUGCCAUGGGAUCAAUGUUGGCAGUAUAAAAGAUCCAGUUGUCAGGAUCAAAACCUACCACAACCACCACUCAUUCUAGAGUGGAGCCAAAUGGAGCUGGAUGGUUGAGAAGCUGCUGCAGAGGCCAAGAAGAAUAAACAGGUCUGAAGCUGAAGACAAAAGGGGGCUACUCCAAAAUCUUAUUCUACCUAUGGACUCAGUUCAACUUGAGAAUAAAGGAUCAUUUAGGGUAUUCUCUUGAACUGCAUGUGCUUGAUUCCCAAAUGCUAAUUGCUUAAUAAUGGACUGGAUCACCAUCGCCUCCUAUAAACAGGGUCGUAGAUUGGGUCAUGCUACAAGCAUUGCCUUAUCAUCAACCAAGAACCAGGCAGUGACAUGAAUAAUAAUAUAUGGACUUUCCUUAAGAAACUCACAGUCCCAGGGACUUUUUGAAGAUAAUGACUAUGAUGGUUAAUUUUAUGUGUCAACAUGACUGAGCUAAUGCAUGCCCAGAUAGUUAGUAAAAUAUUAUUCCCAGGUGAGUCUAGGAGAGAUUAGCAUUUGAAUCAGUAAACUCAACAAAGAAGAUCAAUCUUCACUAUCCAAUCCAUUGAGGGCACGAAUGAACAAAGUGAUGGAGGAAGGGUGAAUUCUCUCUCUUUCUCUCUUCUUGAGCUGGGAUAUCCAUCUUCUCCUGGCAUUUGACAAUGGAGCUCCUGGUUCUUGGGCCUUCAGACUCCAGGACUUAUGUCCGCACCAACCACCCACCUCCCCACCCUCCAGGUUCUCAGGCCUUUGGACUUAAACUGAAUUACCCCACCAGCUACAAAUGGCAUAUCAAGGGUCUUCUCUUGCCUCACCAAGUGAGCCAGUCCUCAUAAUAAAUCACUUCUCAUAUCUCUCUUUACAUAUUCUACUGGUUUUAUUUCUCUGGAGAACUUUAAUAUAAUGACCAUGGACAUUUAAACUUUUAAAUGAGCUUAUUAUUAUCCUCUCAUAAAAUUUUCAAUGAAGGUAUUAAGACCUCAUCAAGACAAUGGAUACAGAUGUCUGCUGCAGUCAAACCAUAAAUGAAAAGCAAAAAUGAAACUUAGAGCAAAACCUUUGAGAACAAUGACCUCUGUCCCUCUGAGCACUGAAUAAUAACUAAUAUAUACCAUACUCAAUUUUUCAUAUACCCAAUUUCUUAUUUUAUAAUAAUAUGAAUACCUACAAGGUAAGUACUAUUACUAUUAUACCCAUUUCACAGAAGAAACUGAACAUCAGAAAACUUAAUAAACGAGCUCACUUUGCUUUUGCUUUUUCCUGAACUACUAAUCCCAGGCUAACACAACCCAGCAGGCGCCUGCCCUCUCUGGAUAGAACAGCUGCAAAUGCUAAGAAAUAUUAAAGCCUUUGUUUUAAUUAACUUGAGGAUUUUUCCAAUGUUCUGGCUUGGCAUGUGGUUAUUGAAUCUGGUUACUGAAUGUUUGGUAGUAGGCCAUUCUGCUUGCCAAUUCAAAUUUAUUCACACUGAAUAGCUUUUAUUUUAAAACAACAAAAUCACAAAUAAGGCACUAAAAAUACAGAGCCAAACUUUGCGAAUUUAAUGUCACAACCAAAUUCAGGUAUUUCUUAAGGAAAAAAUGUCAGUUGAGAACAGGAUGUAUAAAGACUUUAUUAAAUGCUACAUUUUCUAAUGCUGCUUUAAAUUUAUUUGUGUUGAAGUAAAUGAAGAUCAUUCUAAUAAAAAAUGAUAUUUUUACAGUUG
RNAcentral lists this long non-coding RNA (4611 nucleotides) under Homo sapiens (human). RNAcentral's name for it is "HSALNT0234338". The record is from RNAcentral. Lineage: Eukaryota; Metazoa; Chordata; Mammalia; Primates; Hominidae.